GAGGGUAUAGCUCAAGUGGUAGAGCACAUGCUCAGUGUGCAUAAGGUCCUGGGUUCAAUCCCCAGUACCUCCU
RNAcentral lists this transfer RNA (73 nucleotides) under Camelus bactrianus (Bactrian camel). It matches the Rfam family "tRNA". From Rfam's summary of the family: Transfer RNA (tRNA) molecules are approximately 80 nucleotides in length. Their secondary structure includes four short double-helical elements and three loops (D, anti-codon, and T loops). The record is from Rfam by way of RNAcentral. Lineage: Eukaryota; Metazoa; Chordata; Mammalia; Artiodactyla; Camelidae. RNAcentral also lists the same sequence under 2 other names.